RNAcentral lists this ribosomal RNA (526 nucleotides) under Rudaea sp. RNAcentral describes it as "bacterial SSU rRNA". It matches the Rfam family "Bacterial small subunit ribosomal RNA", at positions 202 to 724 of the family's 1533-position model. The record is from RNAcentral. Lineage: Bacteria; Pseudomonadati; Pseudomonadota; Gammaproteobacteria; Lysobacterales; Rhodanobacteraceae.
CAAGACCUCGCGCGGAUGGAUAAGCCGAUGUCGGAUUAGCUAGUUGGCGGGGUAAAGGCCCACCAAGGCGACGAUCCGUAGCUGGUCUGAGAGGAUGAUCAGCCACACUGGGACUGAGACACGGCCCAGACUCCUACGGGAGGCAGCAGUGGGGAAUAUUGGACAAUGGGGGCAACCCUGAUCCAGCAAUGCCGCGUGUGUGAAGAAGGCCUUCGGGUUGUAAAGCACUUUUAUCAGGAACGAAACACGCAGAUCUAAUACGUCUGCGGACUGACGGUACCUGAGGAAUAAGCACCGGCUAACUUCGUGCCAGCAGCCGCGGUAAUACGAAGGGUGCAAGCGUUACUCGGAAUUACUGGGCGUAAAGGGUGCGUAGGUGGUCGUUUAAGUCCGUUGUGAAAUCCCUGGGCUCAACCUGGGAAUGGCAGUGGAUACUGGACGGCUAGAAUGCGGUAGAGGGUAGUGGAAUUCCCGGUGUAGCAGUGAAAUGCGUAGAGAUCGGGAGGAACACCAGUGGCGAAGGCGG